RNAcentral lists this long non-coding RNA (202 nucleotides) under Hordeum vulgare. RNAcentral describes it as "long non-coding RNA (HVUL_LNC007240)". The record is from RNAcentral. Lineage: Eukaryota; Viridiplantae; Streptophyta; Magnoliopsida; Poales; Poaceae.
GGUGGUCUCAAUAGGUGCCUGGUUUAGGGACACACAAUAUAACACUGGUGUGACUUGGUUCAUCGGGGUGGAAACUGAGGUAUCAACUCCCAAGUGACGCAUCACUUGGGUAGCUGGUUUGGUGGCUAGGUGGUCACGCUCACAAAUUUAAUUCUAAUGCAAUGCGGUCUCGCCAAUACUAGUUAUGUAAUUAUACUUUAAA